AUAGUUAUUCCGUUAUUGUUCUGCAGAUCCCAAGGACGUAGACCACGUAUAAAUGCUGAAGGAAUCACAAAAUUAAACAGUCCGAGCUCGAUAUCAAAGGGAAUACGUUCAAUAAGCACCCCCAACAACAAAUAAGGAAAAAUGUUCGCUAAACUGGUGUUCCUGUUCGCCAUCCUGGCCUUUGCGAUGGCCAAGCCGCAGUACUUCUCCUCCGGCUACGGCUACGGCGGCUACGGCUAUCCCGGCUACUACGGCUAUUCCGGCUACACCCCGUACUCCUACGGAAGCUACGGAUCGUACGGCGGCUCUCCCUAUAACUACGGCUACGGGUACUAUUAACUCGUACUACCAGUUUUCCGAUCUCCACCGAUGAUGUACAUAUUCUUUAGUUUUUUGUUUCGUGAUAUUUGUAAUAAGUGCACGCGCUUGGUAGAUAGCAUCUAUCAUUAUCAAUUCGAGGAAUUAUCGAAUUCUUUGAAUUGGUAAAGGAACACAAUUGUUAAUACGUAUUUGACAUUAUUGUAUUUAACAACCGGGUGCACAAAUUCACUUUAUUUUUAUUUUAUUUUUUUAUUAAAUUAAUUUUUAGCUAUGAUUUGAUUCGGUUGUUUUAUUGUUUUAAGUUUGCACCAAUAAAAGGUCUUAUUUCUUACAAAGGUUUUAAUUAAUUA
Ostrinia nubilalis (European corn borer) is the source of this 671-nucleotide long non-coding RNA. RefSeq lists it as uncharacterized. The record is from RefSeq and is a predicted model, not a curated record. NCBI's taxonomy places the organism in Eukaryota, Metazoa, Arthropoda, Insecta, Lepidoptera, Crambidae. The transcript is spliced from 2 exons.